GUUCCGGGCGGCGGCCGCUCCGGGGCUCCGCGGGACUCCCCAUGCCCCCCCGCGGCUGUUCAGCUGGUACCGGUCCGCUCUGUCCGACCCAGAACCGCAGCGUCCGCGCGCGAGACCCUCCCGUCACAAUAGCAAGUAUGAGCCGUAGCCUGGACCAGACUGAAGACGGAACCAGACAACCUGCACAUCUACCGCCGGAUGCUGAUGAAGCCCCUCCAGCGUCGGUCCGGUCCAGUCGGUCUCAUGGAGGGAUGUGUGUCUCUGAUCAGAACCCGGUUCUGUUCUGUUUCAGUCGACUGUCUCUGAGCGACGGCCUCGUCCGGUUCUGUGAUCCGGGAUCUGCUGCUCCAGAGGAGAAAGAAGGAUGUCGGACGGGUUCUGCAGAACAGGAAGUUUGGAGUUCCAACUUUAGCCAACAGGAAUGUCUUUCUGAGAGGACAAGUUCUCAAAGGUCCCGGUGGAUCUCUCGGAUCUCCGGCGCUGAGAGGGAUCCAUCAGAAAAUCACAGCGAUCAAAUCUAGAUUUUGAAUCCAUUAACGGUUCAUUUGAUCCAAAAGGCGAUAAGGAAAAGGAGAGCGGUGGAUUCUGGGAGAAGAUGACGAAAAUUAAAAUAACUUUAUUAAAGAUCCUCAUUAAAAUAAUGUAUUCAGUUUAGAAUUGCAGAAGUUCUGAGGAGGAGAAGCUGGUGAACAAAACGUUUCAUGUUUGUCAUGUUUGAACUUCCUGAUCGGAUGAAAGUAAAUAAAUAAAACCGGAAAUGAAAAAGUA
Long non-coding RNA from Oryzias melastigma (Indian medaka), 768 nucleotides. RefSeq lists it as uncharacterized. The record is from RefSeq and is a predicted model, not a curated record. NCBI's taxonomy places the organism in Eukaryota, Metazoa, Chordata, Actinopteri, Beloniformes, Adrianichthyidae. The transcript is spliced from 2 exons.